Molecule: long non-coding RNA, 1185 nt
Organism: Capsicum annuum
Lineage: Eukaryota; Viridiplantae; Streptophyta; Magnoliopsida; Solanales; Solanaceae
Exons: 2
Source: RefSeq, a predicted model, not a curated record
GACAACACCACAGCCUUCAACACUGACGAACAACAACAGUAACCAACAACAAUUUCGACCCGACUCAGCUCUUACCCGAAUGACCCGAAUUCAACCAGCAACAAUGACCAUCCAAUCCACCGUAACAAUGCCAAAACAACAACUUCAACAUCCGCAAUUCGAACCCACCAAUAACCCGAUGUCAACUAGAAAAAUUUGAACAACCGAACUAACUCAUCAAUGACCAGAAUCCAUCCAAAUUGACCCAAGUCCAUCAACCCACAACCGAUCCGACCUCAAACCGUUGCUCACGUGCCCCUACCACGCGAAUCCAUGCGAGAAGAGUCUUGAAGCUUCCGAAAAUUGAUGCGUUGGCCCCUCCAACGUUCGAAUCCUGAGAUUUUUGGGUUGAUUUGUACAAUUUUGUACAUAUCUGGAUAAUUUUCAUUGGUUUGGAUUACAAUUCAUUUUGCAAAAAUUUAAUUUGUUCACCUUUUUUUUUCAAUUCCUCUCAAGAAAUCCAAAAAGGGGUACAAAUUGAGAAUGAAAACAGAACCUGUGAGGGAUUUUGAAUUUGAAUUUCAAAAUAUCCUAUUUUCAAAUCUCUAAAAUACCCCCAAUGUUGUCUUCUAUAUAAGAACCCACUGGGUACUGCUUAAAGAGAGAAAAAUUUUGUGUUGAAAAAGAGGGGGAAGAAAAAUUCGAAAAGGAAAAUAGUUUCUUUUAGAGAAAGAGUUUCUUUUCCUUUCUUAUUUCUUAAAGUUGGUCGGUUAAUCGAAGGAUCCUGAGUUGAUAACGCUGAUUUUCGAUGGUGGCGCAUCUCGACAUUGUCUCGUUAUCCCAUUUUGCUGCCCCGAAAGAGGCUAUUGAUGCCCAUCUUCCGAGUCAAUUCCUAGAGAAAGCCUUAAACAAAUUACAUGACAUACGGAUACAAGGAGUUGAAAAAAGGAAAAAUGGGUUAAAGUCCCAUAUUUGAAGCAGCAAAGAGACGCGAGAGUCUCGUUUUCAUUUAAUCUAUUUAUUUUUUCAUUUUAUUAUUCAUUUGUUUUGGGCGUAGAAGUCAAAGUUGUAAAGUAAUACCGGUUAAAUCGAUUGUGGUUUGAAAGCCCAAAAGACUAGUUUAGGAAAGGUACAGGUGGGUCAAAAAGCCCAAAACGGGUUCUCAGAUUUGGGCCCCAAGUGGUCCAGAUCCCUCUCUUUCUUUUA